RNAcentral lists this ribosomal RNA (253 nucleotides) under uncultured bacterium. Its description in RNAcentral is "partial 16S ribosomal RNA". It matches the Rfam family "Bacterial small subunit ribosomal RNA", at positions 524 to 776 of the family's 1533-position model. The record is from RNAcentral.
UACGAAGGGUGCAAGCGUUACUCGGAAUUACUGGGCGUAAAGCGUGCGUAGGUGGUUCGUUAAGUCUGAUGUGAAAGCCCUGGGCUCAACCUGGGAAUGGCAUUGGAUACUGGCGGGCUAGAGUGCGGUUGAGGGCAGUGGAAUUCCCGGUGUAGCAGUGAAAUGCGUAGAGAUCGGGAGGAACAUCUGUGGCGAAGGCGACUGCCUGGACCAGCACUGACACUGAGGCACGAAAGCGUGGGGAGCAAACAGG